This 254-nucleotide ribosomal RNA is filed under the name uncultured Desulfocapsa sp. RNAcentral's name for it is "partial 16S ribosomal RNA". It matches the Rfam family "Bacterial small subunit ribosomal RNA", at positions 1133 to 1382 of the family's 1533-position model. Lineage: Bacteria; Pseudomonadati; Thermodesulfobacteriota; Desulfobulbia; Desulfobulbales; Desulfocapsaceae. The record is from RNAcentral.
GGGCACUCUAAAGAGACUGCCGGUGUCAAACCGGAGGAAGGUGGGGAAUGACGUCAAGUCCUCAUUGGCCUUUAUGACCAGGGCUACACACGUACUACAAUGGCCGGUACAAAGGGCAGCGACACAGCGAUGUGAAGCGAAUCCCGAAAAAGCCGGUCUCAGUCCGGAUUGGAGUCUGCAACUCGACUCCAUGAAGUUGGAAUCGCUAGUAAUCGCGGAUCAGCACGCCGCGGUCGAAUACGUUCCCGGGCCUU